Molecule: long non-coding RNA, 543 nt
Organism: Brassica napus (rape)
Lineage: Eukaryota; Viridiplantae; Streptophyta; Magnoliopsida; Brassicales; Brassicaceae
Exons: 2
Source: RefSeq, a predicted model, not a curated record
UCUCAUUCAAGUUUUAAGCUACAUUGAUUUAAAUAUUUACCUAUUUUCUUCAUCUCCUAUAAGUUAAUCUACUCUUUUCUCAGUUAUUUCUAAAACCAGAUAAUACUUUAACAUUUAAAAUCUCUUCUAUUCAUUUGUCUUCAAUCAUCAACAACUACCAGUAUUCAAAGAUGGAGAGAAAAAAAUAUGAAAAAGGUGACAAAGAAGUUACACAUGAAGAUGAUGAUUUUGGUGAUGUUUCAACAAAGGCAAAUCAAACUUCGCAAUAUCAAGAUUGGAUGGAAGUUAAUUGUAAGAACAAAGAGAAAACAAUGAUUAACCAUGAAAAUAACUCCAACACAAGCGAAUUGUUUUAUCUGAGUUUUCUUUUAAACAAGAACAAAUUAUCAACCAGCUACACAGAUAUACUAACUGUUAAUGGAGUUUUGUAUCCUACCUUUGAAGAUGCUUAUAAUGCUUUUUUUAUUUAAACUACAAUUUUAUUUUUAGGGUUUUUCAAUUACUCAGUUAUUAAGCUCCUAAUGUAGCUCAUAUAUUUGAUUA